GUGCCAGCCGCCGCGGUAAUACCGGCAGCCCGAGUGAUGACCGAUCUUAUUGGGCCUAAAGCGUCCGUAGCUGGCUGCGCAAGUCCGUCGGGAAAUCCACUCGCCCAACGAGUGGGCGUCCGACGGAAACUGCACAGCUUGGGACCGGAAGGCUCGAAGGGUACGUGCGGGGUAGGAGUGAAAUCCCAUAAUCCCGCACGGACCACCGAUGGCGAAAGCACUUCGAGAAAACGGAUCCGACAGUGAGGGACGAAAGCCAGGGUCUCCAACCGGAUUAGAAACCCGAGUAGUCC
This 293-nucleotide ribosomal RNA is filed under the name uncultured bacterium. RNAcentral describes it as "partial 16S ribosomal RNA". It matches the Rfam family "Archaeal small subunit ribosomal RNA", at positions 455 to 747 of the family's 1478-position model. The record is from RNAcentral.